UACAGAGGGUGCAAGCGUUAAUCGGACUUAUUGGGCGUAAAGGGCGCGUAGGCGGCCGUAUAAGUGAGGUGUGAAAUACUUGGGCUUAACCUGAGGAUUGCAUUUCAGACUGUAGGGCUAGAAUACAGCAGAGGGAAGUGGAAUUUCCGGUGUAGCGGUGAAAUGCGUAGAUAUCGGAAAGAACAUCAGUGGCGAAGGCGGCUUCCUGGGCUGAUAUUGACGCUGAGGCGCGAAAGCGUGGGUAGCGAAC
This 250-nucleotide ribosomal RNA is filed under the name uncultured bacterium. RNAcentral describes it as "partial 16S ribosomal RNA". It matches the Rfam family "Bacterial small subunit ribosomal RNA", at positions 524 to 773 of the family's 1533-position model. The record is from RNAcentral.